This 449-nucleotide ribosomal RNA is filed under the name uncultured bacterium. RNAcentral's name for it is "partial 16S ribosomal RNA". It matches the Rfam family "Bacterial small subunit ribosomal RNA", at positions 29 to 523 of the family's 1533-position model. The record is from RNAcentral.
AGUGAACGCUGGCGGCGUGCUUAACACAUGCAAGUCGAACGAGAUCUUCGGAUCUAGUGGCAGACGGGUGAGGAACACGUGGGAACAUCCCUUUCAGUUCGGAAUAACGUUGGGAAACUAACGCUAAUACCGGAUACGUCCUUCGGGAGAAAGAUUUAUCGCUGAAAGAUUGGCCCGCGUCUGAUUAGCUAGUUGGUGAGGUAACGGCUCACCAAGGCUACGAUCAGUAGCUGAUCUGAGAGGAUGAUCAGCCACAUUGGGACUGAGACACGGCCCAAACUCCUACGGGAGGCAGCAUUGGGGAAUAUUGGACAAUGGGCGCAAGCCUGAUCCAGCCAUGCCGCGUGAGUGAUGAAGGCCUUCGGGUUGUAAAGCUCUUUUGUCCGGGAAGAUAAUGACUGUACCGGAAGAAUAAGCCCCGGCAAACUUCGUGCCAGCCGCCGCAGUAA